AAAAAAUGAAACAAAAUGUUAAAUAAGAGAUGUGGUGGUGUUUGUAGGGAGGGAAAAUAGCGAAAAUUGACCCAGACUAUUUGGUGGCGGUAUUUUUAUAUCCAAACUACGAUAUCCGACAAAUAACAACCUAAACUCACAAAAAAAAAAAAUCCCCAACCUAAACAAUAUGAAAACAACCAAAAUCAACAUAUACUGAA
Molecule: long non-coding RNA, 200 nt
Filed under: Capsella rubella
Lineage: Eukaryota; Viridiplantae; Streptophyta; Magnoliopsida; Brassicales; Brassicaceae
Description: long non-coding RNA (CRUB_LNC000815)
Source: RNAcentral